GAAUUUUAUAAUGAAGCUGUGCAGUAACAUCAGCUCAGGAAUGUACAGCAACGGCGCUUCUUACUGCAGUUUGUCUCACCCAUUGUUUAUGAAGUGAAGCAAUGAAUUUAAGAGGAACACGAGGAGCAACUUUUUUUUACACAAAGAUCAUUACACACUCUUUCCAAGCAGACUCUUUGGGACUAGAAUGACUUGCUUCCAUUCCCCCCCUGUGCUUCGGCAGUGUCUGAAGAGUCCUUUGCAAAAACUGCAGAUUGACAGAGCAGUCUCAUAAAUGAGGAGCAUUCAGGAUGUUACCGAGGACCUCAAGGCCAUGCAUCUGGAGCACACAGAAACCCUGCACCAGCAGCAGACUCUCUCAAAAACUACCCAUCCACCCACUGCAUCUAAUGAACAAUCUACAAUGCCCUUAUCAGCCACCUCAGAACCCACAACACCAGACUGGAAGCAGGUCACCUUUGAUCCCAUGGGACUGGCUAAGAACCAAAGCUCAACACCAAACAUCACAAGAAAACAGCGGAAAAAAGAACUUUCGGCUUCAAAAAUAUCUUUUACAACCUCAGAAAAGCCCACUUCUGCCAUUGAAAUGAUAACUGUUUUCAUGAGUAGUCACUGCUGCAAUUCAGAAGGUAAAGUAUCAAAUUGUUUUGCAGCAAAAUCCUUCAAACAGCAAUGAAAUAAAUGACCAGAUCAUUUCCUACAUUAAGUGUUAGUUCUGCAAUAUAUAUUGGCCAGGACAAUUUUGUUCUUCAGAAACUAAUAAACCACUGUUAACUGUACCUCUCAUUACAAAAAAACAAAAACAAUCAGAGGUCCUUUUUAUAGAUUAACAGAGUCCAAAGCCAGGAUUUACUCUAGGAUCUUUCUGGUGAGU
This is a long non-coding RNA of Pristis pectinata (smalltooth sawfish), 874 nucleotides long. RefSeq lists it as uncharacterized. The record is from RefSeq and is a predicted model, not a curated record. The transcript is spliced from 3 exons. Lineage: Eukaryota; Metazoa; Chordata; Chondrichthyes; Rhinopristiformes; Pristidae.